Long non-coding RNA from Homo sapiens (human), 724 nucleotides. RefSeq lists it as uncharacterized. NCBI's taxonomy places the organism in Eukaryota, Metazoa, Chordata, Mammalia, Primates, Hominidae. The record is from RefSeq and is a predicted model, not a curated record. The transcript is spliced from 3 exons.
GCAGUGAGCUGAGAUCACACCACUGUACUCCAGCCUGGGAGACAGAGUGAGACUCUGUGGAAUAGAAUGCAAAAUUCAGAUUCUUAAGGCAAUGUAUUUCUACUUUUAUAGAUUUAUUUUUAAAUAAACCCAUUUUUAUAAAAAUGAAAAAAAUACAGAUAACUUCAAAGAUACUAUUUGACUUUAAUAACUGCAUUGGAGGAUACCACUAGAUGCCCCUUGAUACAAUUCCCUCUCCUGUGGAAAAUUUUGAGAAGCACCACAGCAGCCAAGAGAACACAUUGGCACUUGUUUGGAAAGGGGUCUGUUGUUCUAAAUGCUGUACCUCCUCUGGUCUCCAGGAUUCUUCAUUUGAAAAUGACAACUAUUCUGUGAUAAAGAAAGUCAAGUUUACCCAUAUUCACUGGAUGUCUACAACUGGUGUCGGCUUUCAAAGAGCAUCCGAUACAAGGAGGCAGAAGCAUCAAGAGGCACCCAGUAGUUCAUUGGUUCAACAGUGAUGCGAGAAAUAUAGUUGUCAGGAGCACAAGAUGAUCACGUUUGCUGGUGAUCAUUUUCUCUGCAUGUAGGCAAAAUUACAUCCAGAAGUUAAAUGGGAUUCACGUUUCAUCCAGGAGGGGUUGUGUACACUCGCAGAGAGAGAGAGACUUCUAAAGGAAACACAACCUUUCUGUUGACUUAUACCAUAUUUUUAAAAAUCUCUGUGUUCUGUACAAUCAGCCAA